AUCGCAGAUCAGCAUGCUGCGGUGAAUACGUUCCCGGGCCUUGUACACACCGCCCGUCACACCAUGGGAGUCGGUAACACCCGAAGUCGGUAGCCUAACCGUAAGGAGGGCGCCGCCGAAGGUGGGAUUGAUGACUGGGGUGAAGUCGUAACAAGGUAAC
RNAcentral lists this ribosomal RNA (160 nucleotides) under uncultured bacterium. Its description in RNAcentral is "partial 16S ribosomal RNA". It matches the Rfam family "Bacterial small subunit ribosomal RNA", at positions 1341 to 1500 of the family's 1533-position model. The record is from RNAcentral.